AACGAACGCUGGCGGCAUGCCUAACACAUGCAAGUCGAACGAGACCUUCGGGUUUAGUGGCGCACGGGUGCGUAACGCGUGGGAACCUUCCCUGAGGUUCGGAAUAACUCCCCGAAAGGGGUGCUAAUACCGGAUAAUGUCUUCGGACCAAAGAUUUAUCGCCUUUGGAUGGGCCCGCGUUGGAUUAGCUAGUUGGUAGGGUAAAUGCCUACCAAGGCGACGAUCCAUAGCUGGUCUGAGAGGAUGAUCAGCCACACUGGGACUGAGACACGGCCCAGACUCCUACGGGAGGCAGCAGUGGGGAAUAUUGGACAAUGGGCGAAAGCCUGAUCCAGCAAUGCCGCGUGAGUGAUGAAGGCCUUAGGGUUGUAAAGCUCUUUUACCCGGGAUGAUAAUGACAGUACCGGGAGAAUAAGCUCCGGCUAACUCCGUG
RNAcentral lists this ribosomal RNA (433 nucleotides) under uncultured bacterium. RNAcentral's name for it is "partial 16S ribosomal RNA". It matches the Rfam family "Bacterial small subunit ribosomal RNA", at positions 29 to 507 of the family's 1533-position model. The record is from RNAcentral.